This 74-nucleotide transfer RNA is filed under the name Candidatus Cloacimonadota bacterium. RNAcentral describes it as "Candidatus Cloacimonetes bacterium tRNA-Arg". It matches the Rfam family "tRNA". From Rfam's summary of the family: Transfer RNA (tRNA) molecules are approximately 80 nucleotides in length. Their secondary structure includes four short double-helical elements and three loops (D, anti-codon, and T loops). The record is from RNAcentral. RNAcentral also lists the same sequence under 1 other name. Lineage: Bacteria; Pseudomonadati; Candidatus Cloacimonadota.
GCACCCGUAGUUCAAUUGGAUAGAAUUCAGGACUCCGACUCUUGCGGUUACCGGUUCGAAUCCGGUCGGGUGCA